This is an RNA transcript of Musa acuminata subsp. malaccensis (wild Malaysian banana), 1584 nucleotides long. RefSeq lists it as uncharacterized. The record is from RefSeq and is a predicted model, not a curated record. Lineage: Eukaryota; Viridiplantae; Streptophyta; Magnoliopsida; Zingiberales; Musaceae.
CUAGUUCUGUUGUUAACUAUUGAGUUUUGAUGGAUGGGUUAGGUUGGAGAGAAUGAAGCCAUCAGAAGGCAAAACAGAGGGGUUCUUUUUUUUUUGUUGCAUUGUUAUAAUGACUUGUGACUUCUGAUUUCUGACCUAUUUUAAUUUCAUCCAUUUAGAUUUGAAUCAAGGACUAACAUCUCUCGGUCACUCAAAACUGAAGCUGCAGUUGGCUAUAGAUACCUGUGGACGUGUCAUGUAAUGCAGGAGCUAACGUCACUCGAUCUUUCUUGCUGCUUUUCCUCUCCAUUUGUCAUUUGAUUGUAUGUUAUCCAUCAAGUUUAAGUCUUACCGAUUUCGAAAGCGAGCAAGAAGUCGAGGAAGGGAGCGACGAGGGAGAAGGUAGAGCGAUUUCGAGGAGACAGAGGCCUCGGCGAUCCAAGUGCUUCUGCUGAGCAGGUAGACCAUAUUACUCCUCUCUGGUUUCUCGCUCCUCACGUCUCUCUCGUUUGCUGCUCCUCACUCCUUUCACGUUUCUGGAUUAUAUCGAUUCUAGGGUUUCAUCGCCCACUUGUCAUUCGUUGAUCUUUGCGUUGGAUUCUGAAGUUUUCUUCCGCCUCGUGGAUAGUUCUAGUGUUUUUCUUCUUUUUGGUUCCAUUUCGUUGCUUUUUCGACGGAUUUUUGGUGCUACAUGUUCGUGCGUCUUUUCGUGCUUUUCCACUAAAUCAUUGAGGUUCUUUCUAUUUCGGGUUUCGUUGUCUGCGUGUUCCUUUCUUUAAUGUUUAUCCAUCAGAUUCCUAGGGAUUUUCCUUUACGAGGAUAUGUUCUAGGGUUUGUCCGGAAUUUUCCAUAGAAUCCUUGGGGUUUUUCCUAUUCUAGGGUCUCGUUGACUUUUCUUUUUUCGUUACUGUUCAGUUAGCUUCAUAAGGAUUUUUGACGGAUAUGUUGUAGGUUCUUGUCAUGUUUUUCUUUCAGAUUUUUAUGAUUCCAAUGAUUUUUCUUCGUUGUCUUCUUUACUGGAUCCUUAAACUUCUUCCUCCCGAAUGUGUCUUUAGGGUUUCGUUGGAAACUUUUACAUUCUCUCUAUGGCUAUUUUGUUAUUGAUUUAUCAGUUUUCUCAUUGAUUGAUUGCUGCGGAAAACCAUCCAUGGGUGAUUCUGGUCUGGUCUCUGAUUCCGGGAGGUUGGAUGGCCGAAAGGGAAACUGCUUUGGGGUCUAGCUACAUGCUUGUACAGACGAGUUUCAUAUCCUGAAUCCAAUUGGAGAAGGUUGUCACGAGUUUGUCUUUAGAGCCAAAGAUAAGACAAGUGGAGAAAUUGUGACUAUGAAGACAAGAAGAUUAUUAAUCGAGUUGCUUGGGGAAACAACAACCAUUGGAAGAGGGAGAUCAACUAUCUGAUGUCACCCAUCUAUCAUAGAGUUUUAUGGAUGUUGCAAUGAAUUUUUUUGGUUGUAGAAUAGGUGGAAAAUGACCUCAUAAGUUUUAUGGAGAAGGGGGCAAUCAUUUUUCGAGAGUGAAAUCAAAGUUUUGAUGAUUCAGCUCUUGCAAGAUGUGAGUGAUAUUCAGAUAUUUAGAUAUAUAAACAUCAAACAUCCUACUGAAUG